Molecule: ribosomal RNA, 253 nt
Filed under: uncultured bacterium
Lineage: Bacteria
Description: partial 16S ribosomal RNA
Rfam family: Bacterial small subunit ribosomal RNA
Source: RNAcentral
UACGUAGGGUCCGAGCGUUGUCCGGAAUUAUUGGGCGUAAAGGGCUCGUAGGCGGUUUGUCGCGUCGGGAGUGAAAACUCAGGGCUCAACCCUGAGCGUGCUUCCGAUACGGGCAGACUAGAGGUAUGCAGGGGAGAACGGAAUUCCUGGUGUAGCGGUGGAAUGCGCAGAUAUCUGGAGGAACACCGGUGGCGAAGGCGGCAUCCUGGACCAACACUGACGCUGAGGAGCGAAAGCCAGGGGAGCAAACGGG